GGUCCACCUAGGCCACAUAGGCCAUGUAGCGCUGUUUGCCCGCUCUUCCCGUUUGCCUUCCGUUAUACAGAGUGUGUGGUACUCCGGGCGGCCUUUAGCUCAUCAGGCUCUGGUUCCAGCCGGUCCCCGCGCUCAAGCUUAAUCUUGGAAAGAACCAGAAUCUGGAUUGCUUCCAGGCCAUCCAGACAGCUAUUUCAACUGGAACAAGUGACCUUUGGAACAGACCAGAACAUAGCAACUUGGCCAGACAGAGGGGAGGAAGAAGUCAACUGGGAAGACUACAAAAUGUCCUUGUGAAAUCUCAUUCGAAUAGGACAAUAAAAGAUAAAUGAAAUUAAAAAUGUUUAAAUCCAGUGAAAACAGUGUGCUUCUGUUAUUGAAUUCGAAGUUACCUUUGGAGAUUGUACCUGUCAUGAUUUAAUACACAAGCACAGCAAAUGUCGCUCUCCACUCCUUUGAGUGCAGGCCAUCUUCUUCAAUUACAUGGCAUUUAUUUUUAAUCUUCAUAACCCUUUGAGGUUCAGUGAUCAUUCUUUUGUUUCCUUCUCUCAAUGGGGCCAACUUUCCCUAGCCUAUGAUUAGAUGAUUGUUAUAUGCUUUUAGAUAAUUGUCAAGAGCUUUAUUUAGCAAAAUAUUG
RNAcentral lists this long non-coding RNA (637 nucleotides) under Fukomys damarensis (Damara mole-rat). RNAcentral's name for it is "lncRNA (ENSFDAG00000027978.1)". Lineage: Eukaryota; Metazoa; Chordata; Mammalia; Rodentia; Bathyergidae. The record is from RNAcentral.